Long non-coding RNA from Lagenorhynchus albirostris (white-beaked dolphin), 1803 nucleotides. RefSeq lists it as uncharacterized. The record is from RefSeq and is a predicted model, not a curated record. The transcript is spliced from 3 exons. NCBI's taxonomy places the organism in Eukaryota, Metazoa, Chordata, Mammalia, Artiodactyla, Delphinidae.
CAUUCCGCUUGCCCUUUGCCCACCGGAAACGGAAAUUACCGCGCCUGACCUCCUGCCUGCUUGCCGUAGGUGCAGGGUGUCCCAAGAUAGGGGGUUGCCCGAUAUGGGGCGUGCGAACAGUCCAGAGAAGCUGGCAGGGAAGAGGCGACUCAGCGCUUUUCUCUUCCGCAAUCCUUUCCCCGGGACCACAAAUCCCAGAAGUCACUGCGGCCGCCCCCACCCCAUUAUUACCCUCCGAGGCUGGUAGUCCGGGCCGCCCGGGCAAGGAGCGCCCUCUAGCGGCAGACGAGAGCGUCGGCGCGUGGGCGCCCACAACUCGGAAGCGCGGGAAGCUACGGCUGCGCCGGCUGAGUGCGCGCGGAGAGGACAGCCCUGGCGGUACCACGAGGUCCAUCCAGUCAGCAGGUCUUGGAGUUAAGUCAACAGGAGAAGAGUCAAGUGACGUUACAGAUGAGAUAUACGUCUGAUUUCUUUCUUCCUUCGCCCUCCAUCUCAGAGAAGUGUGCUGUCUAGCCGUUAGAAGACCAAAAGAGAAAUUUCCAUAAGGGAAAAAAAGGAAAGAAAAAUGAUGGUAGAAGAAACAAAGUUUGCAGUUUUUUAAAAAAUCUUCAUCAGAAAUGACCUGCCCAAAUUUGAGAAGAUUUGUCAUCAUCACUUUUGCCUUAUUUAAACUAUUCCGUGGAACCAUAUGCAACUGGUAAAAUUGAUGGACUUUUUUACCUACAAAACAGUAAUUUCAUAUGUAAUUCAAUGUAUACUACUACAAAAACAAACAUGUCAUUGAUUGAAUCAAAAUUUUCUCAUUCCCUGAGAUGAACAAAAGGGAAAAAUAUGAUAAUUUAUAAGAUCAGAACUCAAAUAGCAACACAGAAAUUUACUAUGAAAAAAUAUUAGUCCCCAUGAGAAUAUGUAAAAGUCAAACAUGAAGCAUACUAUAGAAAAUCUUAAAGAAUCACUACCAAAUCUAAUACCCAACCAGGGUCCUUUUUAUUAGCUCUUUUUUUAAAUUAAAAAGUAAUACACUGGGCUUCGCAGGUGGUGCAGUGGUUGAGAGUCCACCUGCCGAUGCAGGGGACACGGGUUCAUGCCCCCGUCCUGGAAGAUCCCACAUGCCGCGGAGCGGCUGGGCCCGUGAGCCAUGGCCGCUGAGCCUGCGCGUCCAGAGCCUGUGCUCCGCAACGGGAGAGGCCACAACAGUGAGAGGCCCGCGUACCGCAAAAAAAAAAAAAGUAAUACACUGACAAGUUCAGGUUUCUGGUAACUGACUAUACUGCUGAACUGAAUGAAUAAGCAUUUUCAGAACUCUAAUGGAAAACUGAUGAAUUCAUAAAAGUGCUAACAAAAGAUCAAGAUAAAAAAAUAAUAAUUACAUGGGACUGAGUGAACUGAUGAGGAUGAUUAUAAUUUUUGUGACUUUCUGUUUGAAUUUAAAAAAAGUUAAAAAAAAAAGUAACUUACUGGUGUCCUAAGAACUAGUGAGGAGUGACAAAACUGACAGAUCAAAGCACCCUUCCCCCACUUCUGACUUUAACUCCUCCACCUUAUUCUGUAAGCACCUAUUUUUCUGAUCAGAUAUUAUCCUGUUUGAAAUGCCUAGAAGAGAUUAUAUUUUCCUUACUGAACCCCAAGUAUAUUAUUACAAUACUUAGCUAAGAGUGAAUUCCCCUCUAUUUUAGUUACAGUAUACACAUUUACUUUAAUAAAAAAAUAUUGUAUUCAGAAUUUCAUUAAAGCAACUUUGUAGAUGUAUGGAAUAAAAAAAAAGUAAUAUAAUGUUCACUGCUACAAUUUCAAAACAAAUAA